UCUUCAGAUGAUGAUCCCAAGCCUUCUGGCGAUCCGUGAUAAGUUCUUUGUAGAACUUUAAGAAAAGCAUUUUGCAUUAAAAGAAUGCUUUCAUGUGAUAAAGUCGGGGAAGGUUUUCCGGUUUAUCCCGGAGGGCUUGUAGCUCAGUUGGUUAGAGCGCGCGCUUGAUAAGCGUGAGGUCGGAGGUUCAAGUCCUCCCAGGCCCACCAAUUAUCCAUCCACAGAAAAGCGCUUAGGAAGCUUGAAAAAAAAGAGCUUUUUCGUAAAGUUUGAAAAAAAACUUGUUUAUCGCUUUUUGUAAGAUGUGGCGUUUGUCUGUUUUUAAAGCGGUCGAAACCAAAAGUGUUGCAAAGACAAGAGUCUUGGAGCAGGAAAGAACAUAAGAUCCAGGUGGUGUCACAUGGUCUAGAGUUAAACUGUUCAUGAUUGGAAUAUUCCAUGUUGAAAUGCUGCGAUAUAAAGGUUUCGGAUAAAUUAUUCCGUUUUGGGGCCGUAGCUCAGCUGGGAGAGCACCUGCUUUGCAAGCAG
This 528-nucleotide unclassified non-coding RNA is filed under the name uncultured Bartonella sp. RNAcentral describes it as "partial 16S-23S ribosomal RNA intergenic spacer". The stretch from base 133 to 206 matches the Rfam family "tRNA". Lineage: Bacteria; Pseudomonadati; Pseudomonadota; Alphaproteobacteria; Hyphomicrobiales; Bartonellaceae. The record is from RNAcentral.